This 473-nucleotide ribosomal RNA is filed under the name uncultured bacterium. RNAcentral describes it as "bacterial SSU rRNA". It matches the Rfam family "Bacterial small subunit ribosomal RNA", at positions 355 to 825 of the family's 1533-position model. The record is from RNAcentral.
UGGGGAAUUUUUCGCAAUGGGGGAAACCCUGACGAAGCAACGCCGCGUGGAGGAUGAAGGCCUUCGGGUCGUAAACUCCUGUCGACCGGGACGAACGCUAUUGGGCCCAAUACGCCCGAUAGUCGACUGUACCGGUGGAGGAAGCCACGGCUAACUCUGUGCCAGCAGCCGCGGUAAUACAGAGGUGGCAAGCGUUGUUCGGAAUUACUGGGCGUAAAGGGCGCGUAGGCGGUCCUGUCAGUCCCUUGUGAAAUCCCCCGGCUCAACUGGGGAACUGCAAGGGAUACAGCAGGGCUUGAGUUCGGGAGAGGGAAGCGGAAUUCCGGGUGUAGCGGUGAAAUGCGUAGAUAUCCGGAGGAACACCGGUGGCGAAGGCGGCUUCCUGGACCGAUACUGACGCUGAGGCGCGAAAGCUAGGGGAGCAAACGGGAUUAGAUACCCCUGUAGUCCCUGAGCGGGCUGGCAAGGCGCAU